This 185-nucleotide long non-coding RNA is filed under the name Zonotrichia albicollis (white-throated sparrow). Its description in RNAcentral is "lncRNA (ENSZALG00000010150.1)". Lineage: Eukaryota; Metazoa; Chordata; Aves; Passeriformes; Passerellidae. The record is from RNAcentral.
CUCGCACAGGCGAAAAUCAACAAAGAGCCAUUCUCGGGCAUUUCCAACUGCACCUAAGCCAAGGCACUGAGCUGUGGAGCCAUCCGGCCUGGGGAGGGGAGCCACGCAGACACUGCUCACUGCUCUUGGGUGUGCGGCCAGGCACAGUAAACAUCCAGGUGAGCAGCUGAGGGCUGAGGCCCUGU